Molecule: ribosomal RNA, 487 nt
Filed under: uncultured bacterium
Lineage: Bacteria
Description: SSU rRNA
Rfam family: Bacterial small subunit ribosomal RNA
Source: RNAcentral
AGGAUUAACGCUGGCGGCGUGCAUGAAACAUGCAAGUCGAGCGCGGUGUGAUGAGGGGUAACCCAAUUCACAUCUAGCGGCGAACGGGUGAGUAACACGUGAGCAACCUACCUUUGAGUUGGGGAUAGCCCUGGGAAACCAGGAUUAAUACCCGAUGUGGUCACAACAGGACAUCCUGAUGUGAGUAAAGGCGUAAGCCGCUCAAUGACGGGCUCGCGGCCUAUUAGCUUGUUGGUGGGGUAACGGCCUACCAAGGCGAUGAUGGGUAGCUGGUCUGAGAGGACGAUCAGCCACACUGGGACUGAGACACGGCCCAGACUCCUACGGGAGGCAGCAGUUAGGAAUUUUCGGCAAUGGGGGCAACCCUGACCGAGCAACGCCGCGUGCAGGACGAAGGUCUUCGGAUCGUAAACUGCUUUUCUGUGGGAAGAGAACGGACGGUACCACAGGAAGAAGCCCCGGCUAACUACGUGCCAGCAGCCGCGGU